This 440-nucleotide ribosomal RNA is filed under the name uncultured bacterium. RNAcentral's name for it is "partial 16S ribosomal RNA". It matches the Rfam family "Bacterial small subunit ribosomal RNA", at positions 338 to 795 of the family's 1533-position model. The record is from RNAcentral.
CCUACGGGAGGCAGCAGUAGGGAAUAUUGCUCAAUGGGGGAAACCCUGACGCAGCAACGCCGCGUGGAGGAUGAAGGUUUUCGGAUUGUAAACUCCUGUUGUUAGAGAAGAUAAUGACGGUAUCUAACGAAUAAGCACCGGCUAACUCCGUGCCAGCAGCCGCGGUAAUACGGAGGGUGCAAGCGUUAUUUGGAAUCACUGGGCGUAAAGAGCGCGUAGGCGGGAUAGCAAGUCAGAUGUGAAAUCCUAUGGCUUAACCAUAGAACUGCAUUUGAAACUGUUAUUCUAGAGUAUGGGAGAGGUAGGUGGAAUUCUUGGUGUAGGGGUAAAAUGCGUAGAGAUCAAGAGGAAUACUCGUUGCGAAGGCGACCUGCUAGAACAUAACUGACGCUGAUGCGCGAAAGCGUGGGGAGCAAACAGGAUUAGAUACCCGAGUAGUC